UACGUAGGCAGCAAGCGUUGUUCGGAUUUACUGGGCGUAAAGGGCGCGUAGGCGGCCACUGCAAGUCAGUUGUGAAAUCUCCGGGCUUAACUCGGAACGGUCAGCUGAUACUGCUUUGCUAGAGUGCAGAAGGGGCAAUCGGAAUUCUUGGUGUAGCGGUGAAAUGCGUAGAUAUCAAGAGGAACACCUGAGGUGAAGACGGGUUGCUGGGCUGACACUGACGCUGAGGCGCGAAAGCUAGGGUAGCAAACGGG
Molecule: ribosomal RNA, 254 nt
Filed under: uncultured bacterium
Lineage: Bacteria
Description: partial 16S ribosomal RNA
Rfam family: Bacterial small subunit ribosomal RNA
Source: RNAcentral